ACUCCUACGGGAGGCAGCAGUGGGGAAUAUUGGACAAUGGGCGAAAGCCUGAUCCAGCCAUGCCGCGUGUGUGAAGAAGGUCUUCGGAUUGUAAAGCACUUUAAGUUGGGUAGGAAGGGCAGUAAGUUAAUACCUUGCUGUUUUGUACGUUACCAACAGAAUAAGCACCGGCUAACUUCGUGCCAGCAGCCGCGGUAAUACGAAGGGGUGCAAGCGUUAAUCGGAAUUACUGGGCGUAAAGCGCGCGUAGGUGGUUCAGCAAGUUGGAUGUGAAAUCCCCGGGGCUCAACCUGGGAACUGCAUCCAAAACUACUGAGCUAGAGUACGGUAGAGGGUGGUGGAAUUUCCUGUGUAGCGGUGAAAUGCGUAGAUAUAGGAAGGAACACCAGUGGCGAAGGCGACCACCUGGACUGAUACUGACACUGAGGUGCGAAAGCGUGGGGAGCAAACAGGAUUAGAUA
This 461-nucleotide ribosomal RNA is filed under the name uncultured bacterium. Its description in RNAcentral is "bacterial SSU rRNA". It matches the Rfam family "Bacterial small subunit ribosomal RNA", at positions 335 to 784 of the family's 1533-position model. The record is from RNAcentral.